UGGGAUGUGACUUAGUGGUAGAGCAUUUGCCUGACAUGCAGGAGGCCCUGGGUUCAAUUCCCAGCACCAG
This 70-nucleotide transfer RNA is filed under the name Ictidomys tridecemlineatus (thirteen-lined ground squirrel). RNAcentral's name for it is "Spermophilus tridecemlineatus (thirteen-lined ground squirrel) tRNA". The stretch from base 6 to 66 matches the Rfam family "tRNA", at positions 6 to 65 of the family's 71-position model. From Rfam's summary of the family: Transfer RNA (tRNA) molecules are approximately 80 nucleotides in length. Lineage: Eukaryota; Metazoa; Chordata; Mammalia; Rodentia; Sciuridae. The record is from Rfam by way of RNAcentral.